This 460-nucleotide ribosomal RNA is filed under the name uncultured bacterium. Its description in RNAcentral is "partial 16S ribosomal RNA". It matches the Rfam family "Bacterial small subunit ribosomal RNA", at positions 338 to 795 of the family's 1533-position model. The record is from RNAcentral.
CCUACGUGUGGCAGCAGUGAGGAAUAUUGGUCAAUGGGCGCGAGCCUGAACCAGCCAAGUAGCGUGAAGGAUGACUGCCCUACGGGUUGUAAACUUCUUUUAUAAAGGAAUAAAGUGAGGCACGUGUGCCUUUUUGUAUGUACUUUAUGAAUAAGGAUCGGCCAACUCCGUGCCAGCAGCCGCGGUAAUACGGAGGAUCCGAGCGUUAUCCGGAUUUAUUGGGUUUAAAGGGAGCGUAGAUGGGUUGUUAAGUCAGUUGUGAAAGUUUGCGGCUCAACCGUAAGAUUGCAAUUGAGACUGGCAGUCUUGAGUACAGUUGAGGUAGGCGGAAUUCGUGGUGUAGCGGUGAAAUGCUUAGAUAUCACGAAGAACUCCGAUUGCGAAGGCAGCUUACUAGACUGCCACUGACAUUGAUGCUCGAAAGUGUGGGUAUCAAACAGGAUUAGGUACCCCAGUAGUC